UAUAGUCGGCUUGGAUUCUUUAAUGUACCAAGUACUACAAACUGUCAUUUGCGUGUAACAAACCGUAUUUCGUUGGCAUUACACACGCUGAGCGUUCUUUUCGUUCUUCGGUUACAGUUUACAACCAACCUAGUUAAGCUCCGUACUUGCAACAUGUUCCGCAGUCUCGUCGUGCUUUUCCUCGUGAUCGCUGUUCUGGUUGCAAUUGGCGAAUGCUGUCGCCAGGCGAAUGAAGGAUGUUCCAGCAAUCAGUACGAGGACUGCUGUCCAGGUCUGAAGUGUGACCAAAGUGGUGCCGGAGGCUUCUCUGGAUUCUGUCGCCGUCAGUGAUUGCACAUACUUGGAUUAGGCAACUUCCACUGUACAGGGGCGUCAAAAUAUCUGCUGAGCCCAACAGAAAUUCAUCAAUGCACAUAAAUUUUCCUUAUUGUAAAAAUUCGUUUUGCUUGGAAUUUUACAUAACGAUAUGCCUUAGAAACUGUUUGCGCUUAAUACGUUCCGCCGUUAAUACGUUAAUACGUUUUGUAUAAUUACCGUAAAGGUCGAAAUUAAUGACGUGACGGUUAA
Long non-coding RNA from Paramacrobiotus metropolitanus, 567 nucleotides. RefSeq lists it as uncharacterized. Lineage: Eukaryota; Metazoa; Tardigrada; Eutardigrada; Parachela; Macrobiotidae. The transcript is spliced from 2 exons. The record is from RefSeq and is a predicted model, not a curated record.